CCGGGUUCGGCGGCAGAACGCGCGAGUCGUAAAGCGAAGACACAUCCGGAAAUUCGUCACCGCUCUUGGCGUGGUGUCCUCAGUAGUCUCUGAGGCGCCAAGACAGUAGAGGAUGAAGUUUGCAACUGUUCAGUGGCAGCUGUGGCUGUGAACACAGGAAGGCGGGGUCUCGGCUGAGAAUGAGCGUUAAGGGCUCCUGAGCCCCAACACCCACCAGAAAAGGCAUCUACUGUUGGGGUCCUCAUGAAGCAAAGGGUGGGGGACAGAAAAGGCUCACAGAUGCCAAUAAGUCAGCCUAAAGUCUUGGAAAGAGAUCUGCGUCAGAGGGAACCUAGGUUCAAGUCCUGACUCCUACUGGCCAGGUGAGGAGCCUGAGGACCCCGAGUAGCAUGCUGAGGGCCCCACGGCUAGUUCUGCGGCUCCCCGUCAGAGGCCAGAGCACCUGCCUUCUGCUGCUCUUCUCACAGAAGCACACCACUUUGGGCGGUGGAAAAAUUCAC
Manis pentadactyla (Chinese pangolin) is the source of this 500-nucleotide long non-coding RNA. RefSeq lists it as uncharacterized. The transcript is spliced from 4 exons. The record is from RefSeq and is a predicted model, not a curated record. NCBI's taxonomy places the organism in Eukaryota, Metazoa, Chordata, Mammalia, Pholidota, Manidae.